Molecule: transfer-messenger RNA, 388 nt
Filed under: Cyanothece sp. UBA12306
Lineage: Bacteria; Bacillati; Cyanobacteriota; Cyanophyceae; Gomontiellales; Cyanothecaceae
Also listed under: 1 other name
Rfam family: transfer-messenger RNA
About the family: Bacterial tmRNA, also known as 10Sa RNA or SsrA, is named for its dual tRNA and mRNA-like properties. Its role is to liberate the mRNA from a stalled ribosome.
Source: RNAcentral
GGGGCCGUAACGGUUUCGACAGGUUGGCGAAAGCUGCCUCGUGAUUCAGGUCGAGAGUGAGUCUCCUCUCGUAAAUCCAAGGCUCAAACAAAAAAGUAACUGCGAAUAACAUCGUUAGCUUCAAGCGUGUAGCCGUAGCUGCCUAAACUUAGACUCGUCAGAGUACGCUUACUUCUAUUGUGACUCCGUUAAGCAUUAGAGGUAAACCCCAACGGAUGCACCUUCUAGUUACCUCUGGUUGACUAUUGGGUAAAGACUUCACUAGAGCAUCCCACCAUUCGGGAUAAGGAAUGGUUCCAGUUCUGCGGAUUAAAAGAACUAAGCCUGUGAAUGAGCGAAAAGUCAAUACCCAGUCUGGACAGCAGUUCGACUCUGCUCGGCUCCAUUC